This 49-nucleotide ribosomal RNA is filed under the name Steinernema siamkayai. RNAcentral describes it as "partial 28S ribosomal RNA". The record is from RNAcentral. Lineage: Eukaryota; Metazoa; Nematoda; Chromadorea; Rhabditida; Steinernematidae.
AGACCUCAAUUUGAGCAAGAUUACCCGCUGAACUUAAGCAUAUCAGUAA